AGGGUUUGAUCAUGGCUCAGAACGAACGCUGGCGGCAGGCCUUAUACAUGCAAGUCGAGCGCAUCCUUCGGGAUGAGCGGCGGACGGGUGAGUAACGCGUGGGAAUGUGCCCUUCUCUACGGAAUAGCCACUGGAAACGGUGAGUAAUACCGUAUACGCCCUUAGGGGGAAAGAUUUAUCGGAGAAGGAUCAGCCCGCGUUAGAUUAGGUAGUUGGUGGGGUAACGGCCUACCAAGCCUACGAUCUAUAGCUGGUUUUAGAGGAUGAUCAGCCACACUGGGACUGAGACACGGCCCAGACUCCUACGGGAGGCAGCAGUAGGGAAUCUUGGACAAUGGGGGAAACCCUGAUCCAGCCAUGCCGCGUGAGUGAAGAAGGCCUUAGGGUCGUAAAGCUCUUUCGCCUGUGAUGAUAAUGACAGUAGCAGGUAAAGAAACCCCGGCUAACUCCGUGCCAGCAGCCGCGGUAAUAC
This 472-nucleotide ribosomal RNA is filed under the name uncultured bacterium. RNAcentral describes it as "bacterial SSU rRNA". It matches the Rfam family "Bacterial small subunit ribosomal RNA", at positions 8 to 526 of the family's 1533-position model. The record is from RNAcentral.